GCGCAGAUAAGACUCCCCCACUCCCGAUGGCGGAGCCUGAAAGGGAAGUUGGGAUGCUGCAAGCGAUGAAGCGCUGUUUGGCUGAUUUCCCCACCGAAGCCCGGGAGUUGUGUUGGUCAGAAUCAGUGCCGUACCUUGAUAUUCUUCCACCUCCCCUGGAAUUCUACCGGGAAUGGAUCUGCCCAAACAAACCAUGUAUAAUCCGAAAUGCUUUCCACCACUGGCCGGCUCUGAAGAAGUGGACCUUGGGUUACUUGAGGCAAAUAAUGGGCUCCAAGCUGGUGAGUGUGGCAGUAACCCCCAAUGGUUAUGCUGAUGCGGUUUAUCAGGACUGGUUUGUUAUGCCAGAGGAGCGUCAUAUGCCUUUCAGUGCUUUUUUGGACAUUUUGGAAAAGAAGAUAACUUCUCCAGGGGUGUUCUAUGUGCAGAAACAGUGUUCAAACCUGACUGAGGAAUUUCCUGAACUUAUAGGUGAUGUGGAGCCUGAGAUACCUUGGAUGAGCGAAGCACUGGGAAAGAAGCCCGAUGCUGUGAAUUUCUGGCUGGGAGAAUCUUCUGCAGUGACUUCAUUACACAAAGACCACUAUGAAAACUUGUACUGCGUGAUUUCUGGAGAAAAACAUUUUUUGUUACAUCCGCCCAGUGACCGUCCCUUCAUCCCAUAUGAGUUAUAUCCACCAGCAACUUACCACAUCUCAGAAGAUGGAUCAUUUGAUAUUCUGGAAGAUAAAACGGCAGAGAAGGUACCCUGGAUCCCUUUAGAUCCUUUAAGUCCAGAUCUGAAACAAUACCCAGAAUACACUCAGGCAAAGCCUUUAAGAUGUACUGUGAAGUCUGGUGAAAUGUUGUAUCUUCCUUCUCUUUGGUUCCAUCAUGUUCAGCAAUCACAUGGCUGUAUAGCAGUAGUUGGAACUUCCGCUUGAAAUAAUAUUUAUUUUAUGGAAGGCAACUCAGGAUCCAAGCCAGCCUUUGAACAGAUGAGAUCUGAAAAUAAUGUUGUAUUUUAAUUGGAAAGUUCAAAUUCUACCACUAUAUUUUGACAGUUUAACAGUUUCUCUGCUGCAAAUCAAAGUAAGAAUUGCAUAUAGGCUUGAAUUAUUGGUAUGAUAUGGAAUAUGAUCUAAAAUACUCCUAUUAUCAGCUGCUGGAUUCUCUCACAAAAGUUGCACAACCAAUUUUGGAUUCUUCGUGGAACACCUAACCUUUUACACCUGAUAUGGAAC
This is a non-coding RNA of Notechis scutatus (mainland tiger snake), 1223 nucleotides long. The record is from RefSeq and is a predicted model, not a curated record. Lineage: Eukaryota; Metazoa; Chordata; Lepidosauria; Squamata; Elapidae.